AGCCACUUACUUGGCUUGUAGUGUCAUCGGUAGCAACCAUCAAACAUAGGUUUGCUUCUUCAACAGAAUCACUUGAACUACAAGUGCUUGAUGCAGUAUCCUCCCAAGCAAUGUAGGCCUUCUUCUUUUUGUGAGAUUUCUUUGCUUUUCUUUUGUUGCUUGAACAAUCAGCUUUCACAUGGCCUCUUUCACCACAUCCAUAACAUUUGAAGCUUGAUGCGGAGCCUUGAUUGUUCUCCUUCUUCUUCUUCAAGAUUUGGCUUUCACUUUUUGCCAUUAAGCAUACAUUUUCUUCCUUAUUAAAAUCACUUGAGCUUGAGGAGUUUGAUGUAGAGCUUGAAUCACACGGUGUCAACUUAUCC
This 362-nucleotide long non-coding RNA is filed under the name Vigna radiata. RNAcentral describes it as "long non-coding RNA (VRAD_LNC005301)". Lineage: Eukaryota; Viridiplantae; Streptophyta; Magnoliopsida; Fabales; Fabaceae. The record is from RNAcentral.